RNAcentral lists this long non-coding RNA (282 nucleotides) under Musa acuminata (dwarf banana). Its description in RNAcentral is "long non-coding RNA (MACU_LNC005848)". The record is from RNAcentral. Lineage: Eukaryota; Viridiplantae; Streptophyta; Magnoliopsida; Zingiberales; Musaceae.
AGGAAUCAACCGAGAAGUCUAGGAGCUUGCCGGAAGAAGCUCGUCAGAAUUCGCCAAGAAGAUCAUCGUGAAGUCGAGGAGCUUGCCGGAAGUCCGUUGGAAUAUUGCCGGGAGAUCGCCGAAAGAUCGCUGGAAGAAACCAAGACUUACGGAUUUGUUUAGCUUAGGAAAUAUCUUAGAAUUCGUAGUUAGCAUAUAAUUGAGAUUGGAAUUGGGCCAACCCAAUUAUGGGCCAGUUGGACCCAUGUAAGAAUUGUGUUGGGCCCAAUUAAUAGGCCCAAA